Molecule: transfer RNA, 67 nt
Filed under: Gymnotus carapo (banded knifefish)
Lineage: Eukaryota; Metazoa; Chordata; Actinopteri; Gymnotiformes; Gymnotidae
Description: tRNA-Ser
Source: RNAcentral
GAAAGAGGCUCAGAAGCAAUAAGAACUGCUAAUUCUUACCCCCAUGGUUAGAACCCACGGCUCUCUC